AGCUGAAUUCUCUCCCUGCUGCCUCUAUCCAUCUCUCUGUCCUGCUUCAACCCUUCCUUCCCCUAAUAGCCAACAGGUUUAUUUCUUCUUUUCAUUUACUGCCCACAUGGAACCUUUCAAGUAGAGACCUCUGUCCCCUAAGGCUGUCAAAGGAUUUGACACUGCUCCACUUACCAAGAAUUACUACACUGUGGUGUUACAGAACAUCUUGGACACUGAAAAAGAAUAUGCCAAAGAACUUCAGUCUCUUCUUGUUACUUACCUAAGACCUUUGCAGUCUAAUAACAACCUGAGUACUGUGGAGUUUACAUGCUUAUUGGGAAACUUUGAAGAAGUAUGCACAUUUCAACAGACACUCUGCCAAGCCCUGGAAGAAUGCUCAAA
RNAcentral lists this long non-coding RNA (384 nucleotides) under Rattus norvegicus (Norway rat). RNAcentral describes it as "long non-coding RNA NONRATT031330". The record is from RNAcentral. Lineage: Eukaryota; Metazoa; Chordata; Mammalia; Rodentia; Muridae.